This 209-nucleotide long non-coding RNA is filed under the name Salvia miltiorrhiza (redroot sage). RNAcentral's name for it is "long non-coding RNA (SMIL_LNC000390)". Lineage: Eukaryota; Viridiplantae; Streptophyta; Magnoliopsida; Lamiales; Lamiaceae. The record is from RNAcentral.
UACUUGAUAACAUUAGUUUUGAUUUUAUGUUUUUCAUUUAAAUUUUAUUGCAUAAUUUAAAUAACAUAUUUUUGUAAUAGUUAAAUACGCCAUUAAACAUAAAAUUUAAAAACACCUAAAACAUAAAAAAAAAUAACAUAAAAAUUAAAAACACCUAAAACAUCAUAUUACCCCAUUGUUAAAAUCACAUAAUUAAAAUCCUAGUCUAG